Molecule: ribosomal RNA, 254 nt
Filed under: uncultured bacterium
Lineage: Bacteria
Description: partial 16S ribosomal RNA
Rfam family: Bacterial small subunit ribosomal RNA
Source: RNAcentral
UACGGGGGGGGGCAAGCGUUGUUCGGAAUUACUGGGCGUAAAGGGCUCGUAGGCGGCCAACUAAGUCAGACGUGAAAUCCCUCGGCUUAACCGGGGAACUGCGUCUGAUACUGGAUGGCUUGAGGUUGGGAGAGGGAUGCGGAAUUCCAGGUGUAGCGGUGAAAUGCGUAGAUAUCUGGAGGAACACCGGUGGCGAAAGCGGCUCACUGGACCAUUACUGACGCUGAUGCACGAAAGCUAGGGGAGCAAACAGG